GUCGAUUAAGCCAUGCGAGUUAAAUGUUCUUCGUGAACAUAGCAGACUGCUCAGUAACACGUGGAUAACCUGCCCUUAGGACUGGCAUAACCCCGGGAAACUGGGGAUAAUUCCGGAUAGAUCAUAAAUGCUGGAAUGCUUUAUGAUUGAAAGGUUUCGACUGCCUUAGGAUGGAUCUGCGACCUAUCAGGUUGUAGUGGGUGUAAUGUACCUACUAGCCUACGACGGGUACGGGUUGUGGAAGCAAGAGCCCGGAGAUGGAUUCUGAGACAUGAAUCCAGGCCCUACGGGGCGCAGCAGGCGCGAAAACUUUACAAUGCGGGAAACCGUGAUAAGGGAACACUGAGUGCUAGCAUUUAUGUUAGCUGUCCACAUGUGUAAAUAGCAUGUGAUAGCAAGGGCUGGGCAAGACCGGUGCCAGCCGCCGCGGUAACACCGGCAGCCCGAGUGGUGAUCACUAUUAUUGGGUCUAAAGGGUCCGUAGCCGGUUUAAUCAGUCUUCUGGGAAAUCUAAUCGCUUAACUAUUAGGCUUCCAGGGGAUACUGUUAGACUUGGGACCGGGAGAGGUAAGAGGUACGGCAGGGGUAGGAGUGAAAUCUUGUAAUCCCUGUGAGACCACCAGUGGCGAAGGCGUCUUACCAGAACGGGUCCGACGGUGAGGGACGAAAGCUGGGGGCACGAACCGGAUUAGAUACCCGGGUAGUCCCAGCUGUAAACGAUGCUCGUUAGGUGUCAGGAACGGUGCGACUGUUUCUGGUGCCGA
This 764-nucleotide ribosomal RNA is filed under the name uncultured archaeon. RNAcentral describes it as "bacterial SSU rRNA". It matches the Rfam family "Archaeal small subunit ribosomal RNA", at positions 39 to 804 of the family's 1478-position model. The record is from RNAcentral.